This 1333-nucleotide ribosomal RNA is filed under the name Stereomastis sculpta. Its description in RNAcentral is "16S ribosomal RNA". The stretch from base 597 to 1333 matches the Rfam family "Archaeal large subunit ribosomal RNA", at positions 1423 to 2805 of the family's 2987-position model. The record is from RNAcentral. Lineage: Eukaryota; Metazoa; Arthropoda; Malacostraca; Decapoda; Crangonidae.
AUAGUAAAACUUGUUUAAAAGAGUAGGAAAGAAAAAGAUUUUAAAUUUUAAGAAAAAAUAGUAAUUAGAAAUGAAUGUAAAAAAAAGGCUAAAGAGGAAAGUAUUGAAAAAGAAAGUUGAAAAAUGGAAAAAAUAAGAAUAAAGAAAAAAUAAAAGUUUGUACCUUGUGUAUUAGGGUUAAUCUAAAUUAUUCUAGUAUUUAUGAAAAUCCCGAAAAAAAAAGAGCUAAAAUAAAAGGAAAGUUUUUGUGUUAGGAAGAUUUAAAAUUUUAUUUUUGUAGUGAAAUGUUAGUCGUGUUUUUAUAUCUGGUUUUUUUUGAAAAAAAUUUAAUUUUUUUUUUAUUUAAAAAUUAAAUAGAAAAUAAGGGUAGGAGGGGUGAGCUUCUUACCCAAGAAAAUGAAGUUAAUAUAGGAGAUUUAAAAUUUGGUUAAUUAGAUUAGGCUUAAAAGUGGCUAUAUUGGGAAAGUGUUUAAACUAAUUUUAUGCUUAAUUUAGAUUUAUGUUUUGUUUAUUAAGGUAGAAAAAAUAUUUAAAAAUUAAAAAUUUAAUAGUUAAAAUGAUUAUAUUAGUAUAAGUUUGUUGUGAGGAGAUUAAAGUAGGAGUGUUUAAAGAGAAGAGAAUAAAAAAAAAUAAAGAUAAUUAAAAGGAACUCGGCAAAAAAAUCUUCUGCCUGUUUAUCAAAAACAUGUCUGUAUGAUUGGUGUAUAGAGUCUGGCCUGCCCACUGAUUUUAAGAGAUUAAAGGGCCGCGGUAUAUUGACCGUGCGAAGGUAGCAUAAUCAUUAGUCUUUUAAUUGGAGGCUGGAAUGAAUGGUUUUACAAGAAGUUUACUGUCUUUAUAUUAAAAUUUGAACUUUACUUUUAAGUGAAAAGGCUUAAAUAAUUUAAAGGGACGAUAAGACCCUAUAAAACUUUACAUUGAAAAGUAUUUUAGUGAAUUAUUUGUAUAAAUUUAAAGAAGCUUUUGGUAUGUUUUGUUGGGGCGACAAGAAUAAAAUAGGAAUUGUAACUGUUAGAUGAGAAAACAAAUAAUUUUUGAAAGGUUAAUAAUGGUCCUUAAAAAAGAGUAGAAGAUUAAGUUACUUUAGGGAUAACAGCGUUAUUUUUUUGGAGAGUUCUUAUCAAUAAAAAAGAUUGCGACCUCGAUGUUGAAUUAAAAUUUCUUUAUAAUGUAGCAGUUAUAGGAGAAAGUCUGUUCGACUUUUAAAAUUUUACAUGAUUUGAGUUCAAACCGGUGUGAGCCAGGUUGGUUUCUAUCUUUUAAAGGAAAAAAAGCGCUUUAGUACGAGAGGACCAGGUGGUUUAAAUAAUUUAUGAAGAGUUAGAAUAUUACU